RNAcentral lists this long non-coding RNA (429 nucleotides) under Rattus norvegicus (Norway rat). RNAcentral describes it as "long non-coding RNA NONRATT023311". Lineage: Eukaryota; Metazoa; Chordata; Mammalia; Rodentia; Muridae. The record is from RNAcentral.
GGUUGGAGAGAAAAGGAUUAGAGGUCAUGACUGCUCUUGUUUACUCAGAACAACUGACGAAACCUGAUUAUCCCCCAGAUUUCUCCUCUUGGAUUGAAACACCUCUCACAUGUCCGGAUUGGGGCCCUGUGGUGUUAGGAUGGCAUCCCACCAUGGAGGCCACUCUGUCCUCUUCCUUCCCACAGGGGGGCAAAAGAGGGGCUCCCAGCAUUGCUGUGGCAGUUCCUUCCAUGGCCUGAGCCUCCCUUCCCAUCAGAGCAGUGAAAGAGACUCAAACCACUCUGGAUUGAGUGACACCUGCUCCUCAUUCAGAGACAGGGGACAAGGAAGCAGGGCUUGCUCCCUCCGACUCAGGAAUGACCUGCUGGGUUUAAAGACUCCCUCAGGAGGAAGCCCCUCAUUCAUUCACUCAUCUGUUUAGCCUGCCCU